This 632-nucleotide ribosomal RNA is filed under the name uncultured bacterium. RNAcentral describes it as "bacterial SSU rRNA". It matches the Rfam family "Bacterial small subunit ribosomal RNA", at positions 8 to 648 of the family's 1533-position model. The record is from RNAcentral.
AGAGUUUGAUCCUGGCUCAGGAUGAACGCUAGCGGCAGGCCUAAUACAUGCAAGUCGAACGGUGAUAGCAAUAUCAUAGUGGCGCACGGGUGCGUGACACGUAUGCAACCUACCUUAUACUGAGGGAUAGCCUUUCGAAAGGGAGAUUAAUACCUCAUAACACAUUGAACUGGCAUCAGUUUAUUGUUAAAGAUUUAUUGGUAUAAGAUGGGCAUGCGUCCAAUUAGUUAGUUGGCGAGGUAACGGCUCACCAAGACGAUGAUUGGUAGGGGAACUGAGAGGUUAAUCCCCCACACUGGCACUGAGAUACGGGCCAGACUCCUACGGGAGGCAGCAGUAGGGAAUAUUGGGCAAUGGAGGCAACUCUGACCCAGCCAUGCCGCGUGCAGGAAGAAGGCGUUAUGCGUUGUAAACUGCUUUUAUAUAGGAAGAAAUAGACCUUGCGAGGUAAGUUGACGGUACUAUAUGAAUAAGCACCGGCUAACUCCGUGCCAGCAGCCGCGGUAAUACGGAGGGUGCAAGCGUUGUCCGGAUUUAUUGGGUUUAAAGGGUGCGUAGGCGGUUUAUUAAGUCAGUGGUGAAAGACGGUCGCUCAACGAUUGCAGUGCCAUUGAUACUGGUAGACUUGAGUG